Molecule: ribosomal RNA, 219 nt
Filed under: uncultured bacterium
Lineage: Bacteria
Description: partial 16S ribosomal RNA
Rfam family: Bacterial small subunit ribosomal RNA
Source: RNAcentral
GAUCAUGGCUCAGGAUGAACGCUAGCUACAGGCCUAACACAUGCAAGUCGAGGGGCAGCAUGGUCUUAGCUUGCUGAGGCCGAUGGCGACCGGCGCACGGGUGAGUAACACGUAUCCAACCUGCCGUCUACUCUUGGACAGCCUUCUGAAGGGAAGAUUAAUACAAGAUGGCAUCAUGAGUCCGCAUGUUCACAUGAUUAAAGGUAUUCCGGUAGACGA